Molecule: small RNA, 91 nt
Filed under: Tenacibaculum dicentrarchi
Lineage: Bacteria; Pseudomonadati; Bacteroidota; Flavobacteriia; Flavobacteriales; Flavobacteriaceae
Description: Flavo-1
Rfam family: Flavo-1 RNA
Source: RNAcentral
UUCUAGCCCCGAUUGUAGCAAUUGUUUGAGCUCCUUUUUAUUUUUUCUUUUAAAAAAAUAAAAAGAGCGAGUGCGGAAAGCGGGAAAUAGC